GGGGAAGGAGGGGAAGAUGGCGGAGUGAGGGGCGGAGGAGGCGGAGGGGCUGGGCCGCCCGCGGCCCCGCGGCCUCGGCCGCGCUCAGGCUGUAAAGAAGAGAAGAGAAAUCGUCUUCUGUGUCCCUGUUAAUUCUACUUAUCUCCUGGAACAUUUGUGUAUGUGUAAGAGACAAAGCUCCCAGAAGAGAUUGUGGAUUGAUUAAAAAUAAUGCUUUCCAGAUCUGUUUUUCCACAUCUUCAUAACAAGAAUAAGACUUUCCCAACAGUGUGAGCAUGGAUGGUCAACAAAAUGAUCAACAGAAGUAUUUGAGUGCCUCAGAGAGAAAGAGAUGGUGACAUGUACUGUAUUUCCAUUUUCAUGAUCUUCUUGCUGCUUCUAACGUAGGAGCUGAAAAUUGUCAGUGGAAGACUUUCUGAACUCGAUCAACCACAUGGUUAAGAUCCUAUCCUGACAUUCAAGAAGGUGGUCCUGUUACCUGCUCAUAGACUGCGAGAUGUGGAUGUUUCUCUUCUAGCAAGCAAAAACCUGUCCUUCACUUCCAUGGAGCUGAAUGAACAAAGAUCUGUCCAGUUUCAGUCAUGUCACCAAACAUUUGGUUCACCAGAUGGCUUCUCCUACAGAAGUACCCCCACUGUUUUAUCAAAAUUCAAAAGCAGAGUAACAGAAAUCAGCAUUUGGUUUCCUGAAGAAGUGUCUUCUGUGCCAGCACUUCAAACAGCUUUCUCCAUUCUGUUUUAAAAUGAGAAAUGCUUUGUAAUCAGAUGCAAGUGGAAGCUGGUGUUCUUCACUGAUAUUUCCUUCUUCAUUUUAGGAAGGUUAGGUACUUUGCUGUGUCAUACUGGAUUUCCUAGCAGAUAAAGUGUCUGCAUGCAUUACUGUGUCAGACUGACUUGACAUAUAUGAAAAGUUGCAGCAGGAAAAAUUGCUCUGGCGUGAGGAGGAAACUUACCAAACAACCGGGGACAUCCCAUACAGGUAUUUUCUAGUCCAGGACCCAGGCUUGACUUUGUAGAUAGAUGUCAAAUCACAUAAAGCAGCUAAUGCAAGAACAAGAACAAAUGCAGAAUCACCUUGUCUGUAGUGUGUAAAUGCAUUAUCCCAGUCUGUGAUCAAAAUGUAUAUUUGCAUGUGUAAACCUAUAUAAGUGCUGGAUAUGAAGAGGUUUCAACAGAAGGAGAAAUCACCCUGCACCAUUUAACUUUUAGCAAAGAAAAAUGAAGCUUUAAAGCCUUGAGGGUAACAGGAUAAUGAUUAGCUUUACGUUAAAUCAUUCCCUCCCUCUGGCUUUUUAUGAAUUCUUAGCAGCAAAAGGAACAAAACCAUUCUACUGUAGAAAAAAUAGGGCAGAACAUGUUUCUUUAUUAUAGAAAUUAACUUCAGGUGAGAUGAAGGAGACCACAAGUGUAAAGUUGCGAUUUAUCCACCUGGCUUCCUUGACACAGUUUCAGCUUUUCAUACUGCUGAUGGAAUCAGCUUUCUUAUUCUUUCAUGACUGAAAACUGAGAGGACCUGUAGAUUUUCAUUAUCUAGGCAGAAAUAGGCUGAAGAGAAUGGAAUGUUAGCCAUGUAAGGGGGUAAGUUGAGGUACAGCAAAAAUACUUAGGAUGGGCCUUUUUCUGUCUCUUCUACUUCCUUCCCAAACUAAGGCACAAUCUGUUGUUCUUAUGUUUACACGAGAUUCUUUGUCUACAUCAUUUGUGCUUAUAUAGGAUGUUUUCUGUCAUUUUGAGAUGGGAGCAUAUAUUGUUUACAUGCUCCCUGCUAUGGUAUUGUUUAUGGCAAGUAAGAUUUCUUGGCAAAAAAACACCAGACCUGGGAUGUGUAUUGUAUUCGACUUCAAAUCUGAAGCUGUUCUUAGUGCACCUUAUUCCAAGCUUGUGAUUUAGAAAAUGUGACUUCCUAGCUUAAAAUAAUGUUCUCAAAUCUGGAUAAUAUAAGGGUAUAUAGCUUCUAUUAAUAUGUUUUGGAGAUACUACAAUGGUUGAGGAGAUGUUCCAGAUUUCUUGUUUUGUUCUGUUUUGCCUUUUAGAAAACUGCUGGAGAGAGCCAAACAGCCUGAAAAUGGCUGAAAAAGCAAACAAUGGAAAUCCUUCUUAAAUCUUAUUGACAGCUUGCAAGGGCAGCAUUCUAAUAUUUAAAAUGUGGUGAUAUUUUAUGGGACCAAGUUCCAUAGCAGAGUGAGGACAAGUGUUGAUGUUGAUCCUGAUCUUCAGAGUAAUGUCUGUGUUUAGACAUGCCUUGUAACAAUAAGAUUUAGUGACAGCUUUACCCAUUUUUUGUUUCCAUGAAGAAAAGAGCAGAUGUGUUAGCUAAAGGGUGGGGGGGCAAGACACCGUGUCUCAAAAUAAUGCCAACUACAAUGAGCAGACAGGUGCACUGAAAUUGUGUCCAACAUUGUGGUGAGCUCUGUGAUAAGAGUUAACAUUGAUCUUGAGGCAACCAUCAGCUUGAUCUGACUUCUUUUAAGAGCAUAGGAUUUCUUUGCUGAAUAUGGUCUGAAUUUUCUGGCAUUGGAGGCAACUAGAAAAGCACACUUCCUUUUAGGGCGUCCUUAUGUUGAAGCCAAUAAGAUUUAAUGUAGAUGUCUGUAGAAGCAGGAUCCAUCUCUAAGUGAUGGAAAAUACUGUCAAUAUCAUAGGAUUAUAAAUGAUUGGAAAGUAUCUGGUAUAAGAAAUGUCUCAUUUUAGAUCUGGGAAUUUUCUUUUUUCCUACUGCCCAUACUUACCCUUCUGCUAUUAGAGCUAGCAGUUGUUUCUUGCAUAGCUUGACGACAAAAUACUGGGGGAACAGGAAGGUAUUUUUGUUUUCUGUGGACAUGUACAGAAAUUGCAAAUUUGUCUGCCUCCAGAGUAGACACUUCAAGCUCUUUAAUUUCUUUUUCUUUAGGAAUAACCCUCAAUAUUUUGUAACCCACAUUGUAACAAAAAAAAAAAAAAAA
Molecule: long non-coding RNA, 2941 nt
Organism: Empidonax traillii (willow flycatcher)
Lineage: Eukaryota; Metazoa; Chordata; Aves; Passeriformes; Tyrannidae
Exons: 5
Source: RefSeq, a predicted model, not a curated record